RNAcentral lists this ribosomal RNA (257 nucleotides) under uncultured bacterium. RNAcentral's name for it is "partial 16S ribosomal RNA". It matches the Rfam family "Bacterial small subunit ribosomal RNA", at positions 96 to 354 of the family's 1533-position model. The record is from RNAcentral.
UGGCGGACGGGUGAGUAACACGUGAGCAACCUGCCUUUCAGUGGGGGACAACAGUUGGAAACGACUGCUAAUACCGCAUAACGUGCUUGGGGGCAUCCCCCGAGUACCAAAGAUUUAUCGCUGAAAGAUGGGCUCGCGUCUGAUUAGAUAGUUGGUGAGGUAACGGCCCACCAAGUCGACGAUCAGUAGCCGGACUGAGAGGUUGAACGGCCACAUUGGGACUGAGACACGGCCCAGACUCCUACGGGAGGCAGCAG